This 1191-nucleotide ribosomal RNA is filed under the name Desulfosporosinus hippei DSM 8344. Its description in RNAcentral is "bacterial LSU rRNA". It matches the Rfam family "Bacterial large subunit ribosomal RNA", at positions 697 to 1896 of the family's 2925-position model. The record is from RNAcentral. Lineage: Bacteria; Bacillati; Bacillota; Clostridia; Eubacteriales; Desulfitobacteriaceae.
AAGUUACAUGCUGUAGACCCGAAACCGUGUGAUCUACCCAUGGCCAGGGUGAAGGUGGGGUAAAACCUACUGGAGGCCCGAACUCACUGUCGUUGAAAAGGCAGGGGAUGAGCUGUGGGUAGGGGUGAAAUGCCAAUCGAACACGGAGAUAGCUGGUUCUCCCCGAAAUAGCUUUAGGGCUAGCCUCAAUUGAUGAUCGAUGGCGGUAGAGCACUGAAUAGGCUAGGGGCCUUACCAGGUUACCGAACCUUAUCAAACUCCGAAUGCCAUCAGAUUUAGAUUGGGAGUCAGACUGUGGGGGAUAAGCUUCAUAGUCGAAAGGGAAACAGCCCAGACCAUCAGCUAAGGUCCCCAAGUAUACACUAAGUGGGAAAGGAUGUGGAAUUGCACAGACAACCAGGAUGUUGGCUCAGAAGCAGCCACCAUUUAAAGAGUGCGUAAUAGCUCACUGGUCGAGUGGUUCUGCGCCGAAAAUGUAACGGGGCUCAAGUGUAUCACCGAAGCUAUGGCUUGCAGUUUACUGCAGGGGUAGGGGAGCGUUCUAUCAGCAGAGAAGUCAGACUGUAAGGUCUGGUGGAGUGGAUAGAAGUGAGAAUGCCGGUAUGAGUAUGCGAAAAGGAAGGUGAGAAUCCUUCCCGCCGAAAAUCUAAGGAUUCCUGGGGAAGGCUCGUCCGCCCAGGGUAAGUCGGGACCUAAGCCGAGGCCGAAAGGCGUAGGUGAUGGACAACUGGUUGAGAUUCCAGUACCACCUAGAAAUGUUUGAGCAAUGGGGUGACACAGAAGGAUAGGUUAAGCCAACCGUUGGUAGAGUUGGCCCAAGCGAUGAAGGAGGUAGGGUAGGCAAAUCCGCCCUGCGAUACUCUGAGACGUGAUGGGGAGCGAAAGUUAGUAGCGAAGUAACCGACUCCAAGCUGUCAAGAAAAACCUCUAGUGAGUGACUAGGUGCCCGUACCGUAAACCGACACAGGUAGAUGGGGUGAGAAUCCUAAGGCGCGCGAGAAAACCCUCGUUAAGGAACUCGGCAAAAUAGCCCCGUAACUUCGGGAGAAGGGGCGCUCUUCGAAAGAAGAGCCGCAGAGAAAUGGUCCAGGCGACUGUUUAACAAAAACACAGGUCCCUGCUAAUCCGAAAGGAGAUGUAUAGGGGCUGACACCUGCCCGGUGCUGGAAGGUUAAGAGGAGAGGUUAGCCG